This 75-nucleotide transfer RNA is filed under the name Odoribacter splanchnicus. RNAcentral describes it as "tRNA-Arg". It matches the Rfam family "tRNA". From Rfam's summary of the family: Transfer RNA (tRNA) molecules are approximately 80 nucleotides in length. Lineage: Bacteria; Pseudomonadati; Bacteroidota; Bacteroidia; Bacteroidales; Odoribacteraceae. The record is from RNAcentral. RNAcentral also lists the same sequence under 3 other names.
GGCUGAGUAGUUCAAUGGAUAGAACGGAAGUUUCCUAAACUUUAGAUUCGGGUUCGAUUCCCGGCUCGGCUACAA